UACGUAGGGUGCGAGCGUUGUCCGGAAUUAUUGGGCGUAAAGGGCUCGUAGGCGGUUUGUCGCGUCGGGAGUGAAAGUCCGGGGCUCAACUCCGGAUCUGCGGUGGGUACGGGCAGACUAGAGUGAUGUAGGGGAGACUGGAAUUCCUGGUGUAGCGGUGAAAUGCGCAGAUAUCAGGAGGAACACCGAUGGCGAAGGCAGGUCUCUGGGCAUUAACUGACGCUGAGGAGCGAAAGCAUGGGGAGCGAACAGG
This 253-nucleotide ribosomal RNA is filed under the name uncultured bacterium. RNAcentral's name for it is "partial 16S ribosomal RNA". It matches the Rfam family "Bacterial small subunit ribosomal RNA", at positions 524 to 776 of the family's 1533-position model. The record is from RNAcentral.